RNAcentral lists this ribosomal RNA (450 nucleotides) under uncultured organism. Its description in RNAcentral is "partial 16S ribosomal RNA". It matches the Rfam family "Bacterial small subunit ribosomal RNA", at positions 332 to 799 of the family's 1533-position model. The record is from RNAcentral.
UACACUCUACGGGAGGCAGCAGUGGGGAAUAUUGGACAAUGGGCGCAAGCCUGAUCCAGCCAUGCCGCGUGAGUGAUGAAGGCCCUAGGGUUGUAAAGCUCUUUCACCGGUGAAGAUAAUGACGGUAACCGGAGAAGAAGCCCCGGCUAACUUCGUGCCAGCAGCCGCGGUAAUACGAAGGGGGCUAGCGUUGUUCGGAUUUACUGGGCGUAAAGCGCACGUAGGCGGACUAUUAAGUCAGGGGUGAAAUCCCGGGGCUCAACCCCGGAACUGCCUUUGAUACUGGUAGUCUUGAGUUCGAGAGAGGUGAGUGGAAUUCCGAGUGUAGAGGUGAAAUUCGUAGAUAUUCGGAGGAACACCAGUGGCGAAGGCGGCUCACUGGCUCGAUACUGACGCUGAGGUGCGAAAGCGUGGGGAGCAAACAGGAUUAGAAACCCCGGUAGUCCCAUG